GAACCUAUAGAAUGAAUGGCCAUGAAUGAAUCAAUGGCCUGGGCAUUAUAUUCAGUAGACUAGAUCUCAGAAAGGAAAAAGGAGCAGCAUAAAAUACAGCCUUGGUCCAACAUUUUGACCACAGAGCAAAGUUAAAGAGGACCAGAGGAAACAUCUCCUUCAGUGGUGGAAGUAGUUUCCGCAGACAAAAGAUAGCCAAAAGUAUGGCAUGCUGGGGACAUGAGAGACAUUUUAAAGGUCUCUGAGACUUGAUCAAUGACCACUUUCUUGGAGAGCCCCACAUGGUGUAAUUUAUGCAAAUCCUGUGAAGUGGAGUCAUCUAUCUGCUCAGACAUGCAGAAAUCUUUCAGGAGAAGGGUGAGAGAUUUUUGGAAGAAAAGAAGUACAGUGGCCAGGAAAGGAAUUACCUUAAGAAGGUAAUAUGUUGAUGGGAGGAGCAGAUGCCCUGGAGUAAAACUGUUUUCCAGAAGUUUCUUGUCCUAGUGUCCAACUGGAUAAUGAUGAGCAAUCCUUGAACUCCAUCAUGUGCCUCAUGGAAUAGAGUGUAUUGUAAAAAUGCAGCUCAGCAAACGUCUCUCUUCAAAAAGUGGCUUUAAAACCUAGGACAUAUUUAGCCUACUCAGGGAAAAGAAACAAAAUAAAGCAUUCUAUAGCAGCCUUAUGACCCAUUGCUAAAGGAACCCAAAUCCACCAGCACAAGACACAGGAGUCAUUAUGAGGCAAACAGCAGUUAACCUGUGAGCUCUGAAGUCCUCCAGAGGCUGUGUGUGCGCAGUUGCCAUGGGCUGUGGAUGACCCAGGGUGUUGUGUGCCUGUUCAUUGCUCAACCUCUCAUCCUACAUCUCAUCAGUAAUGGAAUAAGUAGAGGGUCAGAACUAGAGGUGGUGGAGUGAACGCCGCACCAGGCAAUGGAAGAAGCACUGGCCUAGACCAAGCUUGAGCGUGCACCACUGUCACCUGGAGGGCUUGUUCCAACACGGAUGGCUGGACUCACCCCCAGAAUUUCAGAUUUAUUAGGUCUGCACUGGGCCCUGAGAAUGUUUAUUUAAAACAAAUUCCUGGAUGCUACUGGUUCAGUUGCCACACUCUGAGACCCGCUGGCUUUGAGCUUAGAAGAUGUGGGUUUGAUUCCUGGAUUCCACAGUUUACUAGCUGUGAGUUAGAGAAUUUAAAUUACUUACCUGAGUCUUGGUUUCUUAUUUGCAAACUGAACUGUAAACUAUUUGUUCUACCCAUUUUAUAAGACUUUUGUAAGGAUAAAAUAAAAGAAUACAUAUGCAAAUUACUGAAAAACCUGUCACUGUUGUUAUUACUAGUAUUAUUGUGAAAGAAGCUGUAGAUUUAUGUCAGCCCCAGACAGGAGUUGACAGAACCUUCGAGUUGCACAAGGCCUGCUGGAGCACUUCAGAGAAUUCCAAAUGAAUCUUGAUUGCAUUGUGGAAUGUACAGCACUGGGGCCCUGGGGACCAGCAUGGAAUGUGAGUAAAGACAAGAUAGGUUCUAUCAUCCUCCAGACCUGCAGAUGUGUGUUCAAAUCCUGACUCCAUGGGGCUUGACUCUAUCCCAUCUGGAAAAAUGGAAAUAAAAGUGCCUACCUUACUGGUUUAUUGUGAGGACUAUUUGAGAUAAUGUAUUUAAAGAACUAGCACAGUGCACGGCACAUAGUGGGCACUCACUAAAUAUUAGCUCUUAAUAUAGUUAUGAAAACUAAACCCAAUGGGGAGAAAAUGCAAGGCCAUCUUGGUAAUACAACUGUAUGUAUUAUGAGGUAGCCAGGUCUCUCAGCCCAAAAGACCAUAUUCCAGGGCCAGGCAUGGUGGCUCACGCCUGUAAUCCCAGCACUUUGGGAGGCUGAGCUGGGUGGAUGACUUCAGGCCAGGAGUUCGAGACUAGCCUGGCCAAAAUGGCAAAACCCCCAUCUUUACUAAAAAUGCAAAAAUUAGCUGGGUAUGGUGGCACACACCUGUGGUCCCAGCUACUCAGGAGGCUGAGGCAUGAUAAUUACUGGAACCUGGGAGGUGAAGGUUGCAGUAAGCUGAGAUUUUGCCACUGCACUCUAGCCUGGGUGACAGAGCAAGAAAAAAAAAAAAAGACCAUAUUCCAGUGCUGCUGCUCUGAGAGAGCAGGAGCAGUUAGACUCACUGACCUCCCACGUUGCUUCCAAAUGAGAUUUUAAUGUCAGCACAAAGCAAACGCAUCUAGUCAGUUGCCAGCAACCAGGGCUGUUUUCCCCAGACUUCCCUUAUGACUGACAGCUACACCAUUCAUUUCUUUGCUAUGACCUACCUUG
This 2290-nucleotide long non-coding RNA is filed under the name Homo sapiens (human). RNAcentral describes it as "HSALNT0113917". Lineage: Eukaryota; Metazoa; Chordata; Mammalia; Primates; Hominidae. The record is from RNAcentral.